This 534-nucleotide ribosomal RNA is filed under the name Triticum aestivum (bread wheat). RNAcentral's name for it is "partial small subunit ribosomal RNA". The record is from RNAcentral. Lineage: Eukaryota; Viridiplantae; Streptophyta; Magnoliopsida; Poales; Poaceae.
AUGGGAGCGGGGAUGAAGCGCGCGAGGGACAAGGAGGUAUUGUCGCUCGCGCUGGCGCUGACCACGGACUCACCGACGCCGUCCACGACGUCAGCGGACUCAGCCGGGUCACCGGCCAAGAAAUCACGGCGACGCGCGAGGGGCGCCGUGGUGGCCACAUCGGGUGAGGGGGAGUUCGUGUGCAAGACGUGCGGCCGUGCCUUCGUGUCGUUCCGGGCGCUAGGCGGGCACCGGACGAGCCACCUUCGGGGCCGUCAUGAGCUGGAGCUCGGUGUCGGCAUCGCCAGGGCCAUCAGAGAACGGAGAAGACGGGAGAACAAGCAGCACGAGUGCAGCAUCUGCGGCAUGGGGUUCGAGACGGGCCAGGCGCUCGGGGGACACAUGAGGCGUCACCGCGAGGAGAUGGCACUGCGCGGCCGCAGCGACGACGACCAGUGGGUGUGGCGCGGCGUCGCGCUACUGCCGGGUCAGGUGGUGACGGGGCACCAGGCCAGUGCCAACCAGCCACCCGUCUUGCUUAAGCUGUUCGUCUAG